ACUGGCAUCAGUUUAUAAUUAAAGAUUUAUCGGUAAAAGAUGGCUAUGCGUCCUAUUAGUUAGUUGGUAAGGUAACGGCUUACCAAGACAGCGAUAGGUAGGGGUCCUGAGAGGGAGAUCCCCCACACUGGUACUGAGACACGGACCAGACUCCUACGGGAGGCAGCAGUGAGGAAUAUUGGACAAUGGAGGAGACUCUGAUCCAGCCAUGCCGCGUGUAGGAAGAAUGCCCUAUGG
This 237-nucleotide ribosomal RNA is filed under the name uncultured Polaribacter sp. Its description in RNAcentral is "partial 16S ribosomal RNA". It matches the Rfam family "Bacterial small subunit ribosomal RNA", at positions 184 to 422 of the family's 1533-position model. The record is from RNAcentral. Lineage: Bacteria; Pseudomonadati; Bacteroidota; Flavobacteriia; Flavobacteriales; Flavobacteriaceae.